UGAGUUGCCAAAAUCCAGAUUUCUUCUAAAGAAGCUGGCAUGUUCUCCUGAGGUGCAUGGAUAACAAUAACCACUGAGCCCACAAUGCACGAAAUGCAUCCCAGUACACCUAAUCUUUGCAAUCGUUCUUUCAACAGAAAGUGUGCCAAAAUAGCACUGAUAAUUAUACUCAAAACGCCAAGAGGAGUCACCAGAACUGCUGGAGCAUAAAUAUAAGCCACAAA
Molecule: unclassified non-coding RNA, 224 nt
Filed under: Hevea brasiliensis (rubber tree)
Lineage: Eukaryota; Viridiplantae; Streptophyta; Magnoliopsida; Malpighiales; Euphorbiaceae
Source: RNAcentral